RNAcentral lists this ribosomal RNA (253 nucleotides) under uncultured bacterium. RNAcentral's name for it is "partial 16S ribosomal RNA". It matches the Rfam family "Bacterial small subunit ribosomal RNA", at positions 524 to 776 of the family's 1533-position model. The record is from RNAcentral.
UACGGAGGGUGCAAGCGUUGUUCGGAAUCACUGGGCGUAAAGGGCGCGUAGGUGGUUUGAUAAGGGUGUGGUGAAAGUCCGGGGCUCAACCCCGGAUCUGCCGUGCCGACUGUCAAACUCGAGGGCUGUAGAGGCAGACGGAAUUCCGGGUGUAGCGGUGGAAUGCGUAGAGAUCCGGAGGAAGACCGGUGGCGAAGGCGGUCUGCUGGGCAGUUUCUGACACUGAGGCGCGACAGCGUGGGGAGCAAACGGG